Long non-coding RNA from Gorilla gorilla gorilla (western lowland gorilla), 670 nucleotides. RefSeq lists it as uncharacterized. The record is from RefSeq and is a predicted model, not a curated record. The transcript is spliced from 3 exons. Lineage: Eukaryota; Metazoa; Chordata; Mammalia; Primates; Hominidae.
GCAGAGGGGCCAACAUGGGUGACACUUAGAGAAGCCUGGAGGAGUAUGAGGAGGCCUGGGAUCUGUAUGCCAGGGGAGAAGAUCCAGCCAGCUCUUUCUCCUGGAACACUCUCUCUCAUCUAGCUAGUAUAAUGGGUGUCCAGGUGGACACAGGACAGACACCCACCCGCUCUUUUCCUCUGGUUCUGGUAAAUAGCCCCUCAAUAACCUUGCAGGCAGCAAUAAUUUAUCUGGGGCAAGACUCAAGUAUUCCUGGGUUCUUAGCUAACAUAGCAUCUUAUUACCAUGCGAUUAUUACCUCUUCAUUACCAGUCACCUUCCUCUGGAAAGCAUAAUUCUGUGAGAAGAAUAUCCCUGCAUAAUAGUGACCCCCUACACACAUACACACAUACACACACACACACACACACACAUACUCUGAGGCUACCUGAGAUGCUGCAAUGAAUACUCAGCCCCUAGACACAGGAGGAGAGGAGUGUCUGUGAGCAACAGACAAAAGAUUUAUGUGAAAUGGAUUUCUGAGAAGCCAUAGAAAGGGAAGACAUCUGUCUGUCUAGCAGUUAUUAAAAGGCGGGGAAAGAUCUGAGGCUCAUAUGGAUGGUAUAACUAUAAAUUAAUAAAAUAAUUUCUGAACACUUUAUGGAGUCAGCCUCAUACCUCAUUCAUGCAU